AGACACCUGUAAAACUGCUUCCCUUUCUUUGUGUCUCUGUGUGUGGUUCCAUGGAGUAUGACUAUAAAGAAUGACUCAUUAAUUAAGUCAUUCAGCAGGUAUAUGGUGGACCUGCUCAUCUGAGCCAGGGAAACUCAAAUCACCCACUGGGGCUCAAAGAUGUCAAUCAUCACCUCACUUUCUGUCAACAAUGAGCCAAGCUCAUCACUCAGACUGGAAAAGAAUAAGGAGGAGGGUUUAAGUGGGUGAGAAAUGUAUUUAAGUUUGGGGUGUUUUCACUUAGAGGACAAGAUUUUAACUAACCAGGUCCCAGAUGUGGGAUUGAUGACCCGAGAAGACAUACAGGACGCCAAAGGAAAGGAUCCCUGGGGAAGUGCCUCAACAUUUACAUCUAUCUGUCUAAACUGGACCAUGAGCUUCUCAGCACCUUGAUGUUCAGAGUACAAGAGGGAACCUAAGUAUGACCAGAGUGAAAGCAUAUUCAGAAACGUCUAUAAAUGUCAGGUAAGUUGAUGAGACUGGCCCUCAGAGGCCUAUUUACAUGGCUCUGUGAGUCUCCUGGGGAAGAAGGCAAGCUUUCUGCCUUUGGGAUGAGACACAGCUGAGCACGUCUGGGGUACAGCCCCCGUCAGGAGCUGCUAUGCCUCUGGGCAGUUUGGUGGCGGCACGGUGGAUCUGCACGGAGUUGAUCAGAGAGAAGGAUGAUGCGGCAAAUGUUGAUCACAAUUUUGUUUUGUUCAGGUUUCCUAGUCAACAUCUGAAUCCUAGGACACAGAACCUGUAAAAAUGCAAAAAACAGUUUUCCAGUAAUUCAGUGAGUCAUAUUUUCAAUGACUCAUUUGGAGUUAGGCAUGCCUACUUGGAGAUACCUUAAACAACAUGCAAUGAGAAGAUUGAAUGCAUUCUCUGUUCUCCAAAUGCCCCUUCUCGUUUCCCCCACGGGACAGCCCUGGUACCAUUAGAACUCAGAGAGUUAGUGGUGGGGCUGGUGGAGCUCUGGGAGCCCGACAGACAUAGAGGAUCAGCAGUGACUGGUCUACAAAGGUGCAGCCAAUUGAAGAAGUAACAGAAGGGUCCAUGGUGCACAGAAUACAGGGAGCAGCCACUUCUCUGAGCAGGAAUGAGGGCCUCUGUGUCCAGCUGCAUGUGAGAGACAAAUCUCCAAACUACAACUGUGUGUAAGCUUUAAAUUAUUUUAUCACUUUUUUGGGCAUGAAGAUACUCAUUGAAUGAUAUUGAGAAAUUAUUGCAACUCAUAAUUUAAAAAAUUUCUUAUGGGGCCAUGUUUAUCAACAUCGUAUACCCUUGACGUUCAUUUAUUUUUGUGAUUGAUAAAACAAUUGGAAAUUCUGAAAGGCAAAGGUUAGAUAUUCAUAUUCCCGAAGUUGAAAGCUAAAAAUGAAAUGAAGUGUUGUUAAUUUGGAGUUGAGGU
This is a long non-coding RNA of Bos indicus x Bos taurus (hybrid cattle), 1432 nucleotides long. NCBI's taxonomy places the organism in Eukaryota, Metazoa, Chordata, Mammalia, Artiodactyla, Bovidae. The record is from Ensembl.